RNAcentral lists this long non-coding RNA (1225 nucleotides) under Chrysemys picta bellii (western painted turtle). RNAcentral's name for it is "lncRNA (ENSCPBG00000000562.1)". Lineage: Eukaryota; Metazoa; Chordata; Testudines; Emydidae. The record is from RNAcentral.
CAGUCUGCCCCAGAGAGUGGGGGCUAGCUGGUGACUGGCAGUGGCCUUAUCCUGAGGUGAGGUGGGGUUAGUGGCUGGGGGUUCCCCUGGGAGGGGAGACCUAGCGUGUGGGUAUUGCCAGGGGGCAGCACCCAGAGCAAGGGGCACCGGGGUCGUGGGAGGGACACGGGGGCCAGUGCAGAGGACAAGGCGGAUCACCGGCCUGCAGAGGGCGCUCCAGAGGCUGGUGAGCUAAUUCCCUGGACGACCAGCAGAAGGCGCCGCAGGGGUGAGUCCGGACCUUCUCUUACACCGCACGAGGAAAUAAGGAAACAAAUCAACAGAGCCAGACCUGUACCCAGAAGCCUCCUGCUGCAAGACAAGCCCAAGAAAGAAGCCAACAGAACUUCACUGGCCAUCACCUACAGUCCUCAGCUUAAACCUCUCCAACGCAUCAUCAGUGAUCUACAACCCAUCCUGGACAAUGAUCCCUCGCUUUCACAGACCUUGGGAGGCAGCCCAGUCCUCGCCCACAGACAACCCACCAACAUUAAGCAUAUUCUCACCAGCAACAAAGCUCGAUGCCAACUCUGCCCACAUAUUUACACCAGCGGCACCAUCACAGGACCUAACCAGAUCAGCUACAACAUCACCAGUUCAUUCACCUGCACGUCCACCGAUGUUAUAUACGCCAUCAUGUGCCAGCAGUGCCCCUCUGCUAUGUACAUCGGCCAAACUGGACAGUCCCUACAUAAAAGGAUAAAUGGACAAAAGACAGAUAUUAGCAAUGGCAACAUACAAAAACCUGGAGGAGUACAAACAGCAAACAGGAAAACAUCAAAAAAGAGCUCUCCGACCUGGAGACUUUCAUACAUAACCAACUCUCCACACAAACUGACUUUACUAAAAGAAGACAGGAGAUCCACAUUACACACUUCACCUUUCUACAAAGGAAAAAGGACUGUUAGCUGUCUAAAAUCCUACCUGCCACAUGGGGCCACGAUAGAAUAGUGGUACCCCUAAAUCACCCAGCAAUAUCGUCAAUUUAUCCAGCUCCACACUUAACUCGGCAGAAGCGACUGUCCUAUCUCGGGGACUCUCUUUUUGCCCCACCACCCCCACAAACAUGAUACAGUUCUGCGCUGAUCUGGAAGCCCUCUAGUCUAUAAGGUGCCACGGGACUCUUUGUUGCUUUUCAUACCAGAGGUUCCCAACAUGCUUUACAACCCAACUCCCCAACAGUCUG